AUGCAUAUGAAACAAAUCCAUCGGGCAAAUAUGAAAUGGAGAAAUUGCCAUCAGUCGUUCACCAUGACGACGCGCUUACCCCAGACACACUAUGUGGAGAACAAUUUUAAUUUUUUUUUUUAAAUCUUUCUACUUAGGAUCUCUCUUUAAAGGUUUUAAAAAUUCGUAUUUCACAACGAUUUCUAGUUAAUCGUGCCCAGGCUGAAGCUGGCAGACACAAACCAGCAGUCAAUCAGUCCGAAGAAAAGAGAUCCAUCAAAGUACUGAGAGUACUCUGACGAUAGUCUACCGGUGACGAUGAAAGAGCUACGAUUUUUAGGUUUGCUUUUACUUCUGAUGAACACUUGCUUUGCAGACGACGAUGAAAACGACGGAUGCGAACUUAUUUUUGGUCCAGAUAUUGGAGAAAUAUUGCCACGUGGUCAGGUACAGUUCAUCGACCCCUGCGUAUUUUGUGAAUGUCCUGUAGACGCACUUCCGGGGGCGCAUGCGUCGUGCGACAGGCUACGGUGUGAGCAACUUCCUAGGAAUUGUACGAAACCCGUAUUGUUGAAGGGAGACUGUUGUUAUACAUGUGAAUCAAGCCAAUAGUCUACAAUACACAAACCUCAACGAGUUUUUAAUGUUUCUGAUAUUAUAGAAUCAUACAGUAGUUAACAAUUAAGAUAUUGUAUAGCUCUUUUUGGUGUUUUUUCUCUCAUUCCAAUUCACCUUAUUCCUUUCUUAUAGUAUAUAAAAGAUAAAUGAAUGAUGUUUAUCAACUUUGAAAUGAUUGCAUGUUCGUCAAACGUUGCAGUUGGAGUCAACUUAUUAUAGCCGACUGAAUUGUCCAGAAAGCAAAAAUUCAGGGGACGGAAUUUGAAGAUUAUAAUUGUUUUAAACUUGGAAAUAAAUGCAUAAAACUGUUA
Long non-coding RNA from Ostrea edulis (European flat oyster), 908 nucleotides. RefSeq lists it as uncharacterized. The transcript has 2 exons. The record is from RefSeq and is a predicted model, not a curated record. Lineage: Eukaryota; Metazoa; Mollusca; Bivalvia; Ostreida; Ostreidae.